This 1732-nucleotide long non-coding RNA is filed under the name Gallus gallus (chicken). RNAcentral describes it as "lncRNA (ENSGALG00010003600.1)". The record is from RNAcentral. Lineage: Eukaryota; Metazoa; Chordata; Aves; Galliformes; Phasianidae.
ACCUAAAUUUUCUCUCUUUUAGUUUAAACCCAUUACCCCUUGUCCUGACAGGACAACAUGUGACAGGACAACAUUCUACCUACAUGUGAAAAGUUGGUCCCCUUGCUGCUUGUGAACUCCUUUCAAGUACUGGAAGAUCACAAUGAGGUCUCCCUGGAGCCUUUUCUUCACCUGCUGGAGGUGACUUCUGAGUGAGCACGUUAACUGUUGGUCAAGAACCUUUCCAAAAUUGUAGUUGAGCUUCCUUUACAGAGAAAAACUAAGGAUGUUUAAAUUGGUGCAGAAGAGGCCCAUGUCACAGAGGUGGCAAACACAUGGUGCUGAAGGUGCAGCUGAGGAGUUUGAGCUGGGCAGCUGCAGCAUGGAGGAAGUGCUGCUUUCUGAGUUGCACAGCUAACACUUGGAUGACUUUGGGUUCUUCUAAGUCCUCCCAUGAGUGACUGUUUUCUGCGACUCAGCUCCCAUAUCUGCUAGGAGAACAGCAGUGUGUUUGUCAACCCACAGGAGUGAAAGAGUCAGCUCUGCUAAAUGCUGCAACCUCUUUGGCUGGACAGUGUUGUGGACAGUGUCUCUUCAGUUGAGGGAGAAUUUUGCAGUGGCUACUUCAAGAUUCACACCAGAGGACCCGAGAGCAGCAGGCUCAACCAUGCAGGUGCCAAUGGGAGGCACAGCAAGAAUAGAGGCUUGAUGAAUGCAUAAACCAAGGUGAGAUUCAGGAGCAGGAAUCACAGCUGGGCUGCUGCUCCAUACCCAGAAUGGCAUGCCAUUAUGUUUUUCAUCUUCUUCCUUUGAGCUGGGUGAGAAGUGCUUCAACUCUUUGUGAGCUUCUGUUCAACCAUUACCACACCUGGCUUAGCGGGUAUGAGUUAGAGUCUCUCCUGCUUUCUUUGGGGGUGCAAGCUCAGUAGGGAGCCACUGAUAAAGUGGUGCAAUUCUCCUUACAAGAUAGGAACUUCUGAGGGUUACUGCUCAUGGGCUGUCUUGCUCGCAUUUUUACAGCACCUGAUGUUGUCAUAGCUGAUAGAUUGAUUAUUCAGUGGUUGAACAUAGACAAAUUAUUUUACUGUAUGACUGUUUGAUCUAGGAGAUAGCAGAGUCCUGAAUUUCCACCUAAUACACUUUUAUCUCAUCCUGAGUCUGCUGCUAGAGGUGGCUUUGCCAGCAGAGGCACAGUGUGGUGGUCUUCUCUAGUGAUGGAGUUUUGAUGCACUGUGCCAGGGUCCCAGGUUAGGAGCGCUGGCACAGAAGAGGGUAAUGCUCCAUUUUUCUGCAUGCAUUAUGCCUAUUUUCACCAGCCAAGAAGGUGUAGUGAGCAAAACUGUUAGAAAAACAAAAUAUAUUCAUCAAUAGUUUAUGCAUCACUGGUGAAUGAAUUAUUUGUAAGCACCAGUGCACUGUUCUCCAUAGAAGAGCUAUAAAACCCUGGCUUGACUUACCAAGCCCUGGCCAAGCCUUCCUUGCUCGUUUACACACUCUCUAUAGCGUUUCCUUUUUCCAUUGCUUUAUUCAUAAGAUGGUGAUUUUUAUCGCUCUCUACUCAGUAAUAAUGUGGUUCCUAUCCUCCUUGCUAGAAGAAAUUUCUUAUUCUUUUUAUUACAUAUAAUCAUUCUUUCCUUAAUUUAUAGCAUGUCAUGUAUUAUUCAGUGACAUCUCUUGGCUCUGAUUACAGGUUCUAUAUAAUCUUACAAACUUCAAAAAUGAUUGUUUAAAUUACAAUAAAAUAAUAUCCAGC